AUUUCAUACGGGAAUGAUGUUCUCCCACGGGAAACCGAAACCGCUUAUCAUAAGCUGAUGACUUCUGCGUUUUA
Molecule: regulatory RNA element, 74 nt
Rfam family: Fluoride riboswitch aptamer (crcB RNA motif)
Source: Rfam